Molecule: long non-coding RNA, 3757 nt
Filed under: Mus musculus (house mouse)
Lineage: Eukaryota; Metazoa; Chordata; Mammalia; Rodentia; Muridae
Description: long non-coding RNA chr16:7080719-7084476
Source: RNAcentral
UUUUUUUUUUUUUUUUUUUUGAGGGAUAAUGAUUUCAGUGGUUGGUUUUCACAUAGAAUCAUAGUUAUUUCAAUAGCAGCUGUUAGAUUGUAAGAUUUCAUGAAUUUAGUAUGUAGCCAGCCACCUAUGAGGCCUUUCACCUACAUUUCACCCUACCUCUUAGGUGGGAUGAAAACCCUUGUUCCCUUGUAAUGUAUGGAGCCCACUGUCCCCUUCCCUCUGCCAAGCUAUAGCUGGGAGAGCUGAGACAUCUAGGCAAGUUGCAUGUAGGAGGUCACAGGUCUCCAUCACAUUGAGACCACAUCUUUUCACACUUGCUCCUGUGGAACAGGCUGGAGCUGGGUGGCAUGGGUGUAGUCUGCCCUUUGUGGUCGGGAAGAGAGGCCCAUCUCAUCUCUUCCAUGUGGCUACAGCCUUCUGGGGACAGACUCUUUAGUACCACCCACAGCCCUGUUCUGUAAAGCUCCUGGCACACUGUGGGCGCUUAAUAAAUGUUAAAUAAUGAGAAUAGCUCCCAUCUGUCAGUGCCUGGUGGCAGGGAGGAUGGGUGAGUGCUGAGUAGUACUGGGCAGCUUGUGGCAAACACUGUGUGUGUGUGUGUGUGUGUGUGUGUGUGUGUGUGUGUGUGUGUGUGUUUGGGAGACUGUAGCCCUGAGAUGUUCAAGGUCCCUCAGCAUUAAAGUGGCUCCCACUCCUCUAGAAAUCAGAAUGUGGACAAGUGCCUUGUCAGUGCGGGCACUGCACCAAUCCUGGCUGUCUGCAUUGUUUACAUGGACCCCAGCCCAGUAGCUGCUUUUCUCAUGGGAAGCUAGGCUCAGGAACAUGUUGAUCAACAAUGCAGGGGCUUUGUUGAGAUUUAAGAGAGGAGGGAAGGAUUGGCCCUUGGAGCAGACGGCACCAUAAAUUCCUGCUUCUGUCGUUUUUCUUGGAGGAAAAUACCUCCCGGGGCUUUUCACAUUUAGUCAUAAUUAUAUCAACAGUGGCUGCUUGAUUUCAGGCAUUUCUGUGUACCAGUCCACAUAUGAGGUCUUUACCUACAGUACCUUAUGGAAGCACUGUGUUUUAGUUAGGCAAAACAGGCUAUCAAGAGGCAGGAUUGUGCAGAGGUGGGGACCGAAGAACAGGCCAAACUGGUUCAUCUUCUGUCUGCACUGUUGAAUGUUCACCUCUGUGACCUUGGGUGCACAUAGCUUGACCUUGAACUGCGCUCUUCUUUAUUCCAUUGGUUGUUAAAGGAGACAGCCUGUGAACAGCAUAGCAAUUGGCCCAGACUCAAAAUGUAUUUCCAAGCUUCUUGCUAAGUGCACUGCAACCCCACCAAGGCAACUCUUAACUCCUGGUCUGAUGGUUAUACGUCUUCUCCAUGUGGCAGCGAGUGCUAUGCUGUCCCUGAGCACAAGCCUAAAGCCAGGCUUUCUGGUUAAGGGCAAGCUUUGCUUUUCAUUAGAAAGUUCCGCAACUUCUCUGUUCUUCAGUUCCUCUUGGCUACAAUGAGUAUGUGAAAAAAUGCCUCAGCUUCUACACACUUCUCUAUAAUAUCAGUUGUUCUUGACCACUGAAGAAAGAAUCUUGGUAAUACACUUUCAAUACUAACAUGUACAGAAUGUCUGAGAAAAGAGUAGAAAUAAUCAUCCAUAAUUGUUAUAUCUAUCUAAUAAAGACAUGUGUGUUAGUAUUUAAUCAAUAUAUAAGAUACAUAUGAUAUAGUGUUAUAUACACCUUGGAACAUUAUUCCUUGAGUCAUUAUAUAAUUAUGUUAACAUUAGCAUAUACUAGAUAAAGGUAAUAUAAUAUACAAUUCAUAUGUAAUAUAAAAUAGUCAUUAUUCUUAUUUCUGCUGCUACUGACACAACUGCAACUAACUCCAUUUAGAGUUUCCUCUAAAAUAUUUCUUCUGUGUGAACACUUCUGAAAAGAUUUACUUUGAAGAGAAGAGGGAAGCCAAGCACUGUGGUGGUGCCUGUAAGUCCAGCACUCAGCAGACUCAGGUAGGAAGAUUACAAGUUCCAAGCCACCUGCAAACCAGGGCUACCUGGAAGACCUUGCCCCAAAGAUUAAACAAACUAAUAUGUAGAUAUUUUUCAAAGAAAAGGAAGGACAACCAACUAAACUGACUGCCUUUCUCAGUAGGGAUGAGGUGGAGCGUGGUCUGUUGGUCUGUGGGAUUCUAGAGUAGGAAGCAGUGGUGGUGGUGUCACCAAGCUCUACAGGGGAGUGCCUGUGUCUGUGCUCAGCACAAGCCACGUUGAGCAGAAGCCCUUCUGUGCUGUUGUCCUCUCUCAUCACUUUCCUCCUCAAGUCCUGCAGCUUCCUGUCAGGAGGGCCUAUUCCUCAGUGGAAGUCAAGAUCCUGGGGAAAGGAUCACACCAGGACAAAAGCUGUUGAUACAGGACCAGGAGAGGACUGCUGGGAAAGGGGUCCUCGAAGCUUGGUUUACAAGACUGUCUGUGAAGUUAUCAGUGUCUAAUCCCACUGGAGAUAUACCUUCUGGUUCCGCUCCAAACACACACAAUCUAUCAAACAUGUCAGUUACUCCAGGGACUUCAGACAGCCUGAAAGCUGUAUUCUCCUCCCUUCCACAGCCACGUGCUUGUUGUAGAGAGAAGAGAAAACCUGGAGAUGCAUGCUCUCUGGGAGGUUUCUGUGGAACAUGUGAUGUGCAUGAUGAGCAACCAGUUAGUGUCUUCAUAAAUCAAGCUCCCCACUUUUCAGAGCAGCUCUAUGUUUUGCUUGGAGCAUUUUAUAAAAGUCUUUGUGGGCCCAGGGCUCUUACUAGUGGAAUUUUAUUUCAUACCCACUGUUUCCUUUGCCAGGUACUUUCCAUUGUGACUUAGUGAAGGUGCUUGCUGUAGCUUGCCAGAGGGCCUGGGAUCAGUGUGGAGAACCAGCAGACACUGAGCCUAUUUCCUAUCACCCCAGGUGCUGUUCCUCAGUGUCACAACCUCUUCCCUUAUCUGUUGUGAGUGACUAGGGCUCCCAUUUCUGCAUAUGAUGGGGCCACCUAGGGACAGUGAGAAGCCUCCAGCAUGAGAAUAAGGCAGAACAGAACAUGCAGGAUUCCUAUCUGUCUAAACCAUACUAGGAAAUGCGCUAGCUACAUGUCCAUUUCAUUUACUGUCUGGUGACAACCUAGAGAUGCACACACAUUCUUCCCUCCUGAGGAAGGACAGUAUGUAAGUUUUGACGAUGAUCUCCAUGUCACGGGUUCCUUGCCUCCUUGUUGGGGCUGUACAAGAUCAUAUGCAAUCAAACCUCUUUCAUUCUUUUGCCAUUUUUUAUUGUAUUGCUGACACAGCCUGGUAUAUUUUAAGAGUCCCUUAAGAUUCAGGAACACCUGCUUCACUGAGCCUUUAUGCUGUGAUUGGCUUCAGGGAUGAGGCGGGGUGCACUGAAGCCUGUAGUUUACUGUGGGCUGAAGAACAGAUGGACAGUGGACAGCUGGACAUGGUGGCCCAUGCCUAUGAUCCCAGCAGUUUAGGAGGGAGUGAGGGUUCUGGGGCAGGAGAAUCAGGAAUUCGAAUUCACCCUGGACAGCAUAGUGAGUUCCAGGCUGGUCUGGGUCAUGUAGUAGCACAUUAUUUUGAAAUCACAUAACAAAGAAAAGAAACCCAAAGUGUUUCUUGACUAUGAGUGUUUUCUACUAGAAGAGCCACUCAAAUCUGGUUAGCUUUGAGAGUACAGUAGGGGAGGCGUGGAUGUUUUACUGCCUUUUGAAAUGUAUUACUUAAACAAAUGGGUGCACAGUAACUCUUGCAUU